UACCAGCACCCCGAGUGGUCGGGACGAUUAUUGGGCCUAAAGCAUCCGUAGCCGGUUUUACAAGUCCUCCGUUAAAUCCAACUGCUUAACAGAUAGGCCGCGGAGGAUACUAUAAGACUAGGAGGCAGGAGAGGCAAGCGGUACUCAGUGGGUAGGGGUAAAAUCCGUUGAUCCAUUGAAGACCACCAGUGGCGAAGGCGGCUUGCCAGAAUGCGCUCGACGGUGAGGGAUGAAAGCUGGGGGAGCAAACCGG
Molecule: ribosomal RNA, 253 nt
Filed under: uncultured bacterium
Lineage: Bacteria
Description: partial 16S ribosomal RNA
Rfam family: Archaeal small subunit ribosomal RNA
Source: RNAcentral